This 253-nucleotide ribosomal RNA is filed under the name uncultured bacterium. Its description in RNAcentral is "partial 16S ribosomal RNA". It matches the Rfam family "Bacterial small subunit ribosomal RNA", at positions 524 to 776 of the family's 1533-position model. The record is from RNAcentral.
UACGUAGGGCGCAAGCGUUGUCCGGAAUUAUUGGGCGUAAAGAGCUCGUAGGUGGCGUGUCGCGUCUGCCGUGAAAGCCCAUGGCUUAACUGUGGGUCUGCGGUGGAUACGGGCAGGCUGGAGGCUGGUAGGGGCAAGCGGAAUUCCUGGUGUAGCGGUGAAAUGCGCAGAUAUCAGGAAGAACACCCGUGGCGAAGGCGGCUCUCUGGGACGGUACUGACGCUGAGACGCGAAAGCGUGGGGAGCGAACAGG